Solea senegalensis (Senegalese sole) is the source of this 806-nucleotide long non-coding RNA. RefSeq lists it as uncharacterized. The record is from RefSeq and is a predicted model, not a curated record. The transcript is spliced from 3 exons. Lineage: Eukaryota; Metazoa; Chordata; Actinopteri; Pleuronectiformes; Soleidae.
ACUGAACACCAAAGAACAAGAUUAACUAUGCAAAUUAUUAACAAUAUAAAUAGCCAUAAAUAGCCAAAGCUAUAACACUUGUGUUUUCUUUGUAACAAAAUACUGUUGAAAAACAAACAGAACUAAACUCCACUGUGGAGAUGAUUGGAGCAUGUUGAAAAUUCUUCUUCAAUCAAGUUCUCUUACAUUUACAAAGUAAAUGAAAUGGCUAGUGUUUCACACUGAGGUAACUGAGGCUUACUGCCUGUGCUGCAAACCACACAUCAAAAGAGGAGGCUUGCUCUCUGUGCUGUGACAAUGUCACCUGCAGUGACCAGCUUGUGUAAGGGCAGCUGUAGCAUCACCUGUUUCUCCUUCAACACAGCUGCAGCUGUUGUGCUGCGGUGGAAAAACGUGACAACUGUCCUCACUCUGCCGAGGAGUCGGGACGUCUGGUGAACGCCCAUCGCUCUCUGCGCAGCCAGAUUAACGUAUAUGCGGUGAAAAUCCGGCCGCUUCGACAGCAUUGGCAAUGUUUCUGCCGUUAUCUGUUGUCACUUAAAGCACUUACAGCAAAUUGUGUGGGUCUUGUCGACUACACGAUUGCCGUCCUUUAGCUCCACCAUGUAGCCCAAAUGUUGCCAUACUGCUGACUGACAUGAAGAGGGAGGAUCCGCUAUUUCUGGGUUGGUUGCCAUGUUUCCUCACGUUCUUCUUCAACUAGCUCAACUUUUGCAGGCAGGCGUCACAUGAUUCAUUGGAUCUGAACGGGAGGGAUCACUCUGGGAGUUGGAAGGGUUUUCUCUCGUGUGAUCACUGGACUGAAC